Molecule: long non-coding RNA, 2926 nt
Filed under: Ananas comosus (pineapple)
Lineage: Eukaryota; Viridiplantae; Streptophyta; Magnoliopsida; Poales; Bromeliaceae
Description: long non-coding RNA (ACOM_LNC024690)
Source: RNAcentral
UACCGCUGCAGUUUGUAGGCGGUGGAUACCCAGGAUAGUGUAGAAUGCAUUUACACUCGUGCUGAGAUGCCGAGCUUAUUGUUUUUACAGCGGUAUUUAGGCUGUUCCGGACUGUCGGGUGCCGUUGAGAUUGACGGUGGAGCCGGAUUGCUGUUUUUGCAUCAGAUUGUGUCGAGAGAACGUGAGUUUAGUUGUUAGACCCUGUUUGCUUUGACUAUAGCCUGUGAGAGCCUGAUUGAUCUCGGCAGAGAUACGCUUGCAUACUCGGUUGGGUAGCGCCCACGAGUGCCACUCCGGAGUUGGGCUUAGUGCUGUUGCGUUCGUGUCGUUGUGUCCUGAUUGGACUCGCUCUCCACUGACUACCCAGCGUCGUGGUUGUUAGUGUAGCUUCGACAGGCGGAACGGGUGUAUUCAGUCCCCAUUGAGAUUGGGUCAGAAAUUGCAUUAUUCUACAGAUAGUUAGCAUUGGAUCAUGAUAGUAUAGUGGAAUAUAGCUGUAAAUUGUUUCCAGUUCCUUUACUAUCAUUGAGCAUACUUUCUGUAGACUUAGUGGGUGAGCCGUUGAGUUUGGUAGCGGCACCCAAUGAGGACUACUUUUUGCAGUAGUUCUCACAUCCAGUUAUGGAUCCUUUUUGCAGAGCCCUCUUCUUAGGCUGCUGCUGUCGUGGAUACAGAUCGUGGAAAGGGAGUCGCGAGUUAGAUCCCUUCCCGUGUUGCUGCUUAGCUAGAGAGUUACCAGGUACAGGUAGUUGUAGUUUUUGGUUUUUAUACAUACUGAUAUUGGUUUCUCGCCGGUGCAAGCAAUUUUGUAUCAGGAUACAAUGCAUGUAUGUUGAACCGAUGUUAUUUAUAUAUGUGUUCUCUUAGCAGCUCUAUACUACAGGUUGUAGGUAUGUUUACAGGUACAGGUACAGCCAUCGCUUCGUAUACAAGAAAAAUUCCUAUAUAUACGGCAGGUCUAUUAGCGUGCCCGGGGAAACGAGUAAUCCGCGGCGUGAUAGAUAACAAACCAGAGGUACAUAUGAAAACGUCAGGACUUUUGCAGGAAUAACAUAUGAAAGUUGAACUUUGAAGGGAUAUAUUUGUCUUUCAUUAUGUUUGCAUGGACCUGUAUAAAAUUAACCCAUUAAUAAAAUACCAAAAUUGUCGUCAAGCAAAACUUGAAAUUUGCUUCAGUCCCAUUCUUUUCUUUCCUUUUUUUUUCUUCCGUUACUCUUUCCUUCCCACUGGCCACUACCGCUUAGAGUCCUACCCUCGUUUCCUCUGGCCGAUGCCGCUGCCACUGCCACACAGCUCUAAGCUGCCACUCCUGCUCCGACUCAACACUGCUGCUAGAUUAGGACUCAAAAGAAGAGAAUAAAGACAAUUGAAGGAGAUGAGCAAACGAGGAACCCGAGAAAGAGAAUAGGCUCCAAUUAAAGUCCAAAUCCAACCGGUAAACGAACUCGUUACUUGAAAACUGCAUGCGGUCGCCUAUACGCCCGCGUAAUACAAGGUAGGCAGCAUAUAGGAUCGCAUCAUGCAAGCUGUGCGAUUUAUUCACUGCACCGCCUAGGCUAGAACACCUUUUUCGAACAUUGAAAAAUUAUUUAGGCAUCUUUAAUUAGCUCUACUACCAUCUCUUAAAAAGCUCUGGCCAAGACAAACAUGCUCUAAUUUUUGCACCUUAAUCCAACAUAAAUUAGUUUGUGAAAGAGAAUUAUAUUCUCAAUGGUUAACUAUCUAAAGGUCUUUGAGACAUUAUAAAUCCCCUACAUAAGGCUAAAUGAUAUAAUAAGUAACUUGUAAUCACCUUGGCAUUGUUUGGUAAUGGAAUUAGCUGGGGAAUAACCUCUUAUCCCCCAGCUAUUCCCCAAACAACUUUUUUGGUGGUGGGAACUAUUGGGAUAAGUGAGCGGGGGGUAGGAACAACACCCUUUUGUCGUUGUGUGCCCGGAUCUGAAUUUUUCCAAAAUUACCCCUGCAAGCGGCUUCUUCUUCCCCUUUUCGUCACAAGGUAAAGCUCUCUCUCUUGCUCUUUCUCGCCUACAUCCUGCAGCUGGUCCCCUCUCUCUACCUUAUCUCACCGAGCUCCUCUCCCGCCGCGGGGUUGUCUCUCUUUACGGCCUCCCCUUCCCGUAAGUCCUCUUCUUCUCUUCGCCUUCGGUCGUCGGCGCCGAUGGUUUCCCCAAAGCUUGUGGGUUUGCGAAAGGUGCGAUCCAAGGCCGGAUCUGCACCGCCGGUAGCUUUCCGACGGGCUUUCUUGCACCCCUACACCCACUCGACGUGGAUCGAGCCUUUUUCUUUCUCUCUACCUCACCUCACCUCACCGAGCACCAUCUCUCCUCCUGCCGAAUCCUAUCUCUCCACCUACCCCUCCCGUGAGUCAUCUCCCUCUCUUCGCCUCCGCCCGUCGGCGCCCGUGGUUUCCCUAAAUCCAGUGGGUUUGCGACAGCCCUGGUGCGAUCCAAGGGCGGAUCUACACCGCCGAUGGGUUUCCGGCGGCCUUUCUUGCAGCGCUCACCUCACCGAGCUCCCUCUGCCCUGCAGCCGGUUCCGCCCUCUCCACCUGCCCUCACCGAGCUCCCUCUACCCUGCAGCCAGUUCCGCCCUCUCCACCUGCCCUCACCGAGCUCCCUCUCCCCUGCACCCGGUUCCGCUCUUUCAACCUCUCUCCCGUCAGUCCUCGAAGGUAAAACUUACCGAAGCUUGUUGGUUUGCAAAAUCGUUGCCUCAAUCGAUUGCGUUCUAGUGCCACUGUUGUACUCCUGCUCUUGCUCCCCUACUGGUACUCAAAAGUAAAACUUACCUGUUUGUUUCGACAUUAAUACUUGUAUGGAUUUUAAGCUUGAUUGUGGGCAUUUGAAUUUAAAUGAUGGAAUACAUGUGUAUAGCGAUCAGUUUGUUGAUUGAUUGGCAAUGAUGCAUGUUUCCGUUACCAUUAGUU